Molecule: ribosomal RNA, 433 nt
Filed under: uncultured bacterium
Lineage: Bacteria
Description: partial 16S ribosomal RNA
Rfam family: Bacterial small subunit ribosomal RNA
Source: RNAcentral
AACGAACGCUGGCGGCAGGCCUAACACAUGCAAGUCGAGCGGACCUUUCGGGGUCAGCGGCGGACGGGUGAGUAACGCGUGGGAAUAUGCCCUUCUCUACGGAAUAGUCCUGGGAAACUGGGGGUAAUACCGUAUACGCCCUUUGGGGGAAAGAUUUAUCGGGGAAGGAUUAGCCCGCGUUGGAUUAGGUAGUUGGUGGGGUAAUGGCCUACCAAGCCGACGAUCCAUAGCUGGUUUGAGAGGAUGAUCAGCUACACUGGGACUGAGACACGGCCCAGACUCCUACGGGAGGCAGCAGUGGGGAAUCUUAGACAAUGGGGGCAACCCUGAUCUAGCCAUGCCGCGUGAGUGAUGAAGGCCUUAGGGUUGUAAAGCUCUUUCAGCUGGGAAGAUAAUGACGGUACCAGCAGAAGAAGCCCCGGCUAACUCCGUG